RNAcentral lists this ribosomal RNA (743 nucleotides) under uncultured bacterium. Its description in RNAcentral is "bacterial SSU rRNA". It matches the Rfam family "Bacterial small subunit ribosomal RNA", at positions 8 to 796 of the family's 1533-position model. The record is from RNAcentral.
AGAGUUUGAUCCUGGCUCAGAGCGAACGCUGGCGGCAGGCUUAACACAUGCAAGUCGAGCGGGCGUAGCAAUACGUCAGCGGCAGACGGGUGAGUAACGCGUGGGAACGUACCUUUUGGUUCGGAACAACCCAGGGAAACUUGGGCUAAUACCGGAUAAGCCCUUACGGGGAAAGAUUUAUCGCCGAAAGAUCGGCCCGCGUCUGAUUAGCUAGUUGGUGAGGUAACGGCUCACCNGGCGACGAUCAGUAGCUGGUCUGAGAGGAUGAUCAGCCACAUUGGGACUGAGACACGGCCCAAACUCCUACGGGAGGCAGCAGUGGGGAAUAUUGGACAAUGGGCGCAAGCCUGAUCCAGCCAUGCCGCGUGAGUGAUGAAGGCCCUAGGGUUGUAAAGCUCUUUUGUGCGGGAAGAUAAUGACGGUACCGCAAGAAUAAGCCCCGGCUAACUUCGUGCCAGCAGCCGCGGUAAUACGAAGGGGGCUAGCGUUGCUCGGAAUCACUGGGCGUAAAGGGUGCGUAGGCGGGUCUUUAAGUCAGGGGUGAAAUCCUGGAGCUCAACUCCAGAACUGCCUUUGAUACUGAAGAUCUUGAGUUCGGGAGAGGUGAGUGGAACUGCGAGUGUAGAGGUGAAAUUCGUAGAUAUUCGCAAGAACACCAGUGGCGAAGGCGGCUCACUGGCCCGAUACUGACGCUGAGGCACGAAAGCGUGGGGAGCAAACAGGAUUAGAUACCCUAGUAGUCC